RNAcentral lists this ribosomal RNA (253 nucleotides) under uncultured bacterium. RNAcentral's name for it is "partial 16S ribosomal RNA". It matches the Rfam family "Bacterial small subunit ribosomal RNA", at positions 524 to 776 of the family's 1533-position model. The record is from RNAcentral.
UACGGGGGGGGCAAGCGUUGUUCGGAAUUACUGGGCGUAAAGGGCUCGUAGGCGGCCGACUAAGUCAGACGUGAAAUCCCUCGGCUCAACCGGGGAACUGCGUCUGAUACUGGUUGGCUUGAAUCCGGGAGAGGGAUGUGGAAUUCCAGGUGUAGCGGUGAAAUGCGUAGAUAUCUGGAGGAACACCGGUGGCGAAGGCGACAUCCUGGACCGGUAUUGACGCUGAGGCGCGAAAGCCAGGGGAGCAAACGGG